CAUCGGUCCCCCCGCAACGGAAAACUGUGAACCCGGUCAGGCCCGGAAGGGAGCAGCCGCAGCAGUGGACCCGUGUGCCGGGGUGUGGCUGGUGCGG
This 97-nucleotide signal recognition particle RNA is filed under the name Sedimenticola thiotaurini. Its description in RNAcentral is "signal recognition particle sRNA small type". It matches the Rfam family "Bacterial small signal recognition particle RNA". From Rfam's summary of the family: The signal recognition particle (SRP) is a universally conserved ribonucleoprotein involved in the co-translational targeting of proteins to membranes. Archaeal SRP consists of a 7S RNA and homologues of the eukaryotic SRP19 and SRP54 proteins. In most bacteria, the SRP consists of a 4.5S RNA and the Ffh protein (a homologue of the eukaryotic SRP54 protein). Lineage: Bacteria; Pseudomonadati; Pseudomonadota; Gammaproteobacteria; Chromatiales; Sedimenticolaceae. The record is from RNAcentral.